RNAcentral lists this unclassified non-coding RNA (644 nucleotides) under Hevea brasiliensis (rubber tree). The record is from RNAcentral. Lineage: Eukaryota; Viridiplantae; Streptophyta; Magnoliopsida; Malpighiales; Euphorbiaceae.
GAAGUUGAAGGCCCCGAAGAGUUAGCACGGGACGAUGAUAAAGCCAAAUGCUUAAUCCCAGUGACAAACUCCGUCAUAUUAUACUGCAUAGCCAAACUAUCUAUCUGUUCCAAUACUGCUUCAUAAAACUUGGUGGUGUAGCUAUCAAUCAUCCCAGGCAUAUCAUUCUCUUCCAUCCACUUCUUAACCCCAAUCCUCUCCGCAUAGUUGCUCUCUUCCACAUGUAGUUUCAACGAAAUCAUAGCAUCUUUCCCUUCAACCCCAAUUUUGUAAGAGAAAAACACCAAUCCAGCCAAGAACACAACAAUCAUAGCAACAAUCAAGCCAAUUGCAACAAUGGUUUUCAAUCUUUUCAAAAGCCCUUUAGUGAAAAACGCACUAACAGCAGUACGACGAAAACUCAAGCUACGAAACGAAGAAACAUUAUACAUAGUAGGAUCCACAGACUUAGAACUAAACAAAAAGCCUAACCCAAGAAGCGAAACAGACCCAACAACACCAAAGUUCUCAUAAGCAAGUAUAAAAAUCCAAAACGACACAAGCCAUCGCAACAACUUAGAAAACACACUUUGAUUCCUUCUAACAGGCCCAGAUUUCUUCCUCCUAAGAACAACCCGAAAACAAACUUCUCGAAAUUGAACAAG